Non-coding RNA from Varroa destructor (honeybee mite), 4973 nucleotides. NCBI's taxonomy places the organism in Eukaryota, Metazoa, Arthropoda, Arachnida, Mesostigmata, Varroidae. The record is from RefSeq and is a predicted model, not a curated record.
GCUGCCAAUGAACGAUAAAUUUUUCCUUAUUUAUAAGAUUCCCCAAUAUACCAGGCGUGGUGUCUACUACAAUGUCUACCUUAGCGAAGCUAUAGGUAUCUUCAUUCUCCUUGCAAUAUAUCUAUCUAUAAAGUCUUCAAAAAAGUUUCUAAACAGACAAAAGUUGCGUCUGCUGUGAGCGUGAGCAAGGAUUAAAUCACGUUGAAGACACUUGAAAAACAACUGCAGAUCUUUCAACGGAAAUCAGAUCUUUAUGGCGGUGGCAUUGGUGCCAAAACGCAGGUCAGCAUUACUGCACUCUUUGGUGCUGGCAAUGUUUUGUCAAGUUGUGAACAGAAGCAUAUUAUAAUUCAGCUGGCACAUUUUGUUCCAUUUGGGUGCCGCUUUCAAGAUGAACAACAAUAUUUGGAACUAAGCAGGAAAGCGACGCAGUGCGAAAGACUUCAUGAGAGCUUACUUCACCAGCCCAUGCAAAAAAAAAGUAGUGUAAAAUAAUCCAACACAGUCAUCAGCUGCAGCUGUUUACAUAUACACAUACGUAACAGUUGUCUGUCAAGUAAAUUAUUUGUUGAUAUUUCUAUUGCACACGUCACGCGACGGUCGGUCACAACUUCAGUCGUUCAUCAUGACUACCACCCAACAAGCAGCUGACAAGAGCGUUCAUGCGGCAUCAAAGGUGGGCCGAGAGCGGUGGGACUCGAAGACUGAGUUCUUGUUAGCCGUGAUCGGCUUUGCCGUUGACCUGGGAAAUGUGUGGCGGUUUCCGUACAUUUGCUAUAGAAACGGUGGAGGUGCGUUUUUAGUGCCGUAUUUAAUAAUGCUGCUAUUUGGCGGUCUUCCACUCUUCUACCUCGAGCUUGCGUUAGGCCAAUAUCACCGAUCUGGAUGCCUCACCAUUUGGCAGUAUAUUGCACCUGUUUUCAAAGGCAUCGGCUACGCGAUCUGUGUCAUCGACAUCUAUAUGGCCAUGUACUAUAAUACGAUCAUUGCGUGGGCUGUAUACUAUCUACAGGCUUCAUUCACACCGAUAUUACCGUGGACAUCUUGCAAUAAUCCCUGGAAUACGCCUGAAUGUUCCGAGCUUGGAGGAAGGACCACUGAAGAAAAUCCUAACUCAACUGGGGUUAUAAAAGAAAAAGUUAGCCCGGCGGAAGAGUACUUCGAACGUCAUGUUCUGGAGAUGCACAAGUCGCCAGGGUUGGGUGAAAUGGGCCCUAUCAGGGCGCCCAUUGCGGGCUGUUUGCUACUGGUCUUUGGGCUCGUUUACCUAGCCCUCUGGAAAGGCGUGAAAUCAACCGGGAAAGCGGUCUAUAUCACGGCUAUUGCUCCAUACGUUGUUCUGCUUGCUCUACUUAUUAAAGGAGUCACCCUCGAUGGGGCUUAUGACGGAAUUGCGUAUUAUCUGUGGCCUGAUUGGACCAAGCUGCAGGAGCGCGAGGUGUGGGUGGACGCAGCAACACAGAUCUUCUUCUCGCUGGGACCUGGGUUUGGAACAUUGCUGGCCCUAUCAUCGUAUAAUCGAUUUCAUAACAACUGUUAUCGGGAUGCUUUGCUCACAUCCUGUAUUAACUGUGGCACCAGCUUCGUCGCCGGAUUGGUUAUCUUUUCGUUCCUCGGUUAUAUGGCGAAAAUGUUGGGCAGAGAUAUUAGUAGCGUCGCUGCCACUGGACCAGGGCUCGUGUUCAUCGUUUACCCUCAGGCAAUCUCAACACUCCUUUACUCGCCAUUAUGGAGCGUCAUGUUCUUCCUUAUGCUGAUUACCCUCGGACUUGACAGCACGUUCGGAGGGUUGGAAGCGAUGUUAACAGGCCUAUGUGACGAGUAUCCUGAUCUAUUAAGAAAACAUCGAGAAAUCUUCGUCGCCGGGGUCCUCGCCUUCAUCUUCAUAUGCGCUCUGCCAACAACAACCUGUGGAGGAUUUUAUUUGGUGGAGCUUUUAGACACCUACGCGACAGCUGUUAGCGUCUUAUUUGUGGUGUUCGUCGAAGGUGUAGUUAUUUGCUGGAUUUACGGAGCUGAACGGUUUUCGCAGAAGGUUUACCAAAUGCUCGGUUCCCCGCCAGGCCUAUAUUGGCGUCUGUGCUGGACCUACAUCAGUCCUAUAUUUUUACUGGUGGUAUUGGUGUUUUCUUUUGAGCGAGCUCGUACUACAGAUUUGGACGUUUCAAAAUAUCCGUGGUGGUCCGUUCGCGUUGGGGUCGCCACCGCUCUCAGCUCGAUGAUGCUUGUAAGUUACAUUCGUUAAGGUUUAAACUAUUGAUUAUAUAGUACGCCCAUAUCAGUAUCAAAAUUUACCUCCCACUGUCAGCGUAAGGAUUUAACAUUGAUGUUACUAUGCUUUUGAAGGCCUUAUUCAUCACGAAACAAUAAAAGGCAACCUAAAAGGAACUUGUGCCUAUACCUUGAUAGGAUAUUGCCGUUCUAAUCAUAUGUGAGUCCCAGCGUAACACACCGGCGCUCCGCUGUUAACUUAAAGCAAUAAGCUGAAAUCGAAAAUACUCAAUUCUAAGUUAGAACUGCUUUUUAUAAAUCGAUGCUUUACAGGACAAAAAGAAGAGCAAAGUAGAUUCUCAGUUGGUAGUCUAUUGCAAAUAGCAGGAGAUAAACUCAAACUGAAAUUUAUUGCAGGUGUUGCUAAUUGGUAAUUUAAAAAUGGGUUAUCUUUGUUGUAGGCACAAAUCGCGAUAAUUUAGAUAAGAUAUCAAUUUUUAGAUUUCUUCUGCGAGCACGCUCACCGGCUACAAUUGUCAUCCAAUGAUGAACCAUUGAUACAAUGUAGAAACAGGCAGCUUUACGAUCCAACGGUCUGCGCUAUCAUCGUUUUUUUUUAUGAACAUUAUUCCGAGCGCCAUCCGUGUAAACAAGGUAUUCAAUUGACCAGAUGUUUCGAUGAUCAGACUCGCCGAUCUGAAUUAUACUUUCUGCUUCCGAGAGGUCGUGCAGCUAUCUCGUCUGACAGCUCCAGCCGCUUAUAUACUCCUGUACUCUAUUCUGGUAACACACGUUUCACUGUCUCUUUCGUCCUUUUCUCUCUCUCGAAAGGACUUCCUGGUAGUUUUCCACCUCAUUGUCUGCCUGUUUCUCUAUGUGGUGCUGGAUACCACUACCACCUUUAAGUAGACGCUGGAUAUCUCAAACCUGCUAUACGGCUAGAGUGGCAAGUAAUAUAGUUGCUUGAAUGUAUUGGCCGACUUUUCGACCCAGAUCCUCUCCAUGUCCUGAGAAAGAGAUUUGUUUUUGGUCUAACAUGAUUCGGAGAUAUCUAUAGAACUUAUUUUUGCUUACCUCUUCCCUUCCAUUUAAAGAAGCCUUUGUUAGCCUGCUUACAUGUGUAACAGUUUAAUUAUUGCAUUUCAGGCAGAGUUUGUGCCUUAUUCCUCUUAACAUCUUCCGAUGUUUGUUGGCUAUAUAUCUAAUAUUUUGAGAGCAUUAAGAAAAACACAUGCUGGCUGUUUGCUAUGGUCUGUCGCCAGCCAGCUCCAACAUCAGCCUAAGACUAUUACUUAAAGAUAUCUCCUCGCCUGUUCUUCCUGAAUCCAUCUUACAUUUCUCCUAAGAUUCGUGUUACAAUAUCUAUCCUUUAUACUUUUACGAACUAACUUUGAUAUUAAUUUAUAUGGAAAGCUAAAUACUGCGAUGGAUCGGUAAGUUCUGACAACCCCCAUACUCGACAAACCUUUCUCGAGUAAGAAUACCCGCAUCCUCAGGUCAGUUAGGCAAAAUUUUAGACUAUAAUGGUAUUGAAAAGGUUUCUUUUUAUAAAUAUGCAUAAAUGUACACUAUUAUCUAUAUUUAGUUCUAUAGCGGAUCUACUUUAUGUAGUCUCGAGCAUUUUUGUUUUUUUUUGUGUGUGAUCAUUUGCAGUCUAAUAUUUAGCGGUACAUGUCGGUUGUUUCCUUUUCUUCUAAUGUUUAGUAGCCACUUUAAAUAGUUUUAUCCCUCUGUUAAGUACUUCCCUCCCACUGUUGUCUUUUACAGUCACUGCUUAAGCUCAUAAUUGUUUAGGUUGCGUAUACCCUCCCCCCCCCCGCCCCAAGGCACGAAAAACUAGUUCUUAACUAGAAAUAAUAACAUAUGGUCAUGUUGUUCUUUCUCAACUGUUCACUUUUUUCUUGUAUAUAUAUUUCUCGGUCGAAGCGAGCUAUCGCUUUAGAGAUCAAACGACCCGGUUAAAUAAUGAUUCCUUUUGGUUGUAACGUGUCGUCUUUUUAUGUCUGUGUAUCUUGCCCACUUGCGUUAUUUUCCUAGACCGGAAGGCCAGGUUCGAGUGCGCAAUUAUGAUUCAAGAAUUUCGAUUGCAUUAUUCAUUGUUUGAACGGUUCUCAAGGGAGUACGUACUUCUCAGAGUUCAUAUUAUUAUCCGUGAAGUCACUAAUCACUUCGUUUGCCACGCUCUUUGUGUCCAUCGGUCGUACUAACCUCACUUUUCCUUUUGAAUAAUCUAUGGGAAGCCUAACAUACAACAUAACAAUAUUAAGGCGAGAUCCUUUGUGUACGGUCGCGUCAGGUUCCAGCUUUCGCUACUAUUUUGAAAACAAGCGCCUUAUUUUGCCUGGUUAAUUGUGGGCAGUAGGAACCCCAGCGGAUGGUACAAGUUGAUACUGUGAAGUCACUGGAACAGCGAUUCCCGAGAGGCUACCAAACGCUGAAGUGAUCCCAAGCGAAACAGCCGCGGUCCUCAGAUAGUCCAGAACAUGACGGCUGGCUAAAUAGGCUAACCAUCAAGGUGUCCUAUGUUUUGCCGCAUCGGCUAGUGACCAACUAACAUUGCGAAUCUUUGUCAGAUAUUAUUUGCCUCUAGACAUUUACAGGUUGCAUGAGAUACUGUGUCCCUAAAAGGAAGUCGCAAACGUGAGCCUCUCCACACUUUCAGCCCCUCGCGCUUUACGGUUAUGUGCCAUUGUAUGCGGUCUAUAUGCUGCUCAAGACGCCAGGCAGUUUCAAGCAGCGAUUGGAGAUCUGUCUUCGACCCA